GGCCGCCUGGCGAAAUGGCAUCGCGUCUGACUACGAUGUCGUGUGAUCAGGAGAUUGCAGGUUCGACCCCUGCGGUGGUCA
RNAcentral lists this transfer RNA (81 nucleotides) under Paxillus involutus ATCC 200175. It matches the Rfam family "tRNA". Rfam says of the family: Transfer RNA (tRNA) molecules are approximately 80 nucleotides in length. Their secondary structure includes four short double-helical elements and three loops (D, anti-codon, and T loops). The record is from Rfam by way of RNAcentral. Lineage: Eukaryota; Fungi; Basidiomycota; Agaricomycetes; Boletales; Paxillaceae.